This 253-nucleotide ribosomal RNA is filed under the name uncultured bacterium. Its description in RNAcentral is "partial 16S ribosomal RNA". It matches the Rfam family "Bacterial small subunit ribosomal RNA", at positions 524 to 776 of the family's 1533-position model. The record is from RNAcentral.
UACGUAGGGUGCGAGCGUUAAUCGGAAUUACUGGGCGUAAAGAGUGCGUAGGCGGUCCCGCAAGUCCGCUGUGAAAGCCCCGGGCUUAACCUGGGAAUGGCAGUGGAAACUAUGGGACUUGAAUCUGGCAGAGGGGGGUGGAAUGCCACGUGUAGCAGUGAAAUGCGUAGAGAUGUGGAGGAAUACCGAUGGCGAAGGCAGCCCCCUGGGCCAAUACUGACGCUCAUGCACGAAAGCGUGGGGAGCAAACAGG